This 253-nucleotide ribosomal RNA is filed under the name uncultured bacterium. RNAcentral's name for it is "partial 16S ribosomal RNA". It matches the Rfam family "Bacterial small subunit ribosomal RNA", at positions 524 to 776 of the family's 1533-position model. The record is from RNAcentral.
UACAGAGGGUGCAAGCGUUGUUCGGAAUUACUGGGCGUAAAGCGCGCGCAGGCGGCCAUUCAAGUCAGGGGUGAAAGCCCAGAGCUCAACUCUGGAACUGCCCUUGAAACUGUAUGGCUUGAGUAUGAGAGAGGUGAGUGGAAUUCCCAGUGUAGAGGUGAAAUUCGUAGAUAUUGGGAAGAACACCGGUGGCGAAGGCGGCUCACUGGCUCAUUACUGACGCUCAGGCGCGACAGCGUGGGGAUCAAACAGG